RNAcentral lists this ribosomal RNA (2111 nucleotides) under human gut metagenome. RNAcentral describes it as "bacterial LSU rRNA". It matches the Rfam family "Bacterial large subunit ribosomal RNA", at positions 740 to 2725 of the family's 2925-position model. The record is from RNAcentral.
GCAGGUUGAAGCGCGGGUAAGACCGCGUGGAGGACCGAACCCACCUGGGUUGAAAACCGGGGGGAUGACCUGGGGCUAGGGGUGAAAGGCCAAUCAAAUUCCGUGAUAGCUGGUUCUCUCCGAAAUGCAUUUAGGUGCAGCGUCGGUCGAUUGCGUCGCGGGGGUAGAGCUACCGGAUGCUUGCGGGCCCUUGUUGGGUACCAACAGCAGCCGAACUCCGAAUACCGUUGACGUGUAUUCCGGCAGUGAGUCGGCGGGGGAUAAGCUCCGUCGUCGAGAGGGAGACAGCCCAGACCGUCGUCUAAGGUCCCGAAGCGUGUGCUAAGUGGGAAAGGAUGUGGAGUCGCAUAGACAGCCAGGAGGUUGGCUCAGAAGCAGCCAUCCUUGAAAGAGUGCGUAACAGCUCACUGGUCUAGUGGUUCCGCGCCGACAAUGUAGCGGGGCUCAAGCACACCACCGAAGACGCGGCAGCAAUCUUCAUGGUUGCUGGGUAGGAGAGCGUCCUGCGAGGGGCGAAGCGGCCGGGUAACCGUGCCGUGGACUUCGUGGGAGUGAGAAUGCAGACAUGAGUAGCGAGAGACGGGUGAGGAUCCCGUCCGCUGGAUGACCAAGGGUUCCGGGGCCACGUUCGUCGUCCCCGGGUGAGUCGGGUCCUAAGGCGAGGCCGACAGGCGUAGUCGAAUGGAUGAACGGGUGGAUAUUCCCGUACCGACCAUGGACCGGCAAAACCGAGACGGUGAGUACUAACCUCCGCCUCGUGGUGGUUCCUUCCUUCGGGUUGGUUCCGUCGCGUGGUGUUGGGAGCGUAGCCGCAGUAGGUCAGCGCAGGGGUGACACGGAAUGGGAGCCGGCCGCGGAGGUGGUUUUCCGUGGUCAAGCACGCAGCCAGUCAUGUAGGCAAAUCCGCAUGGCAUGCAUGGCGAGGUGUGAUGAUGGGAGCCGUUAUGGUUCGAUAUCCGGUUGUCCAGGCCGUCGAGAAAAGCCUCGGCGUGAGGGCCAUGGCCGCCCGUACCCCAAACCGACACUGGUGGUCAGGUAGAGAAUACCAAGGCGAUCGAGCGAAUCCUGGUCAAGGAACUCGGCAAAUCACUCCCGUGCCUUCGGUAUAAGGGAGACCCACUGGGGUGAAGGACCUUGCGUCCGGAGCUUUGGUGGGUGGCACAGACCAGGGGGUAGCGACUGUUUACCAAAAACACAGGUGCAUGCGAAGGCGAAAGCCGCUGUAUAUGCACUGACGCCUGCCCGGUGCCGGAAGGUUAAGAGGAUCCGUCAAUCCCUUCGGGGACGAAGCGGUGAAUUCAAGCCCCGGUAAACGGCGGUGGUAACUAUAACCAUCCUAAGGUAGCGAAAUUCCUUGUCGGGUAAGUUCCGACCUGCACGAAUGGCGUAACGACUUCCCCACUGUCUCGACCAGGAGCUCGGCGAAAUUGCAGUACGAGUAAAGAUGCUCGUUAAGCGCAGAAGGACGAAAAGACCCCGGGACCUUUACUAUACCUUGGUAUUGGCGUUAGGCGCGGAUUGUGUAGCAUAGGCGGGAGGCUUUGAAACGGUGGCGCCAGCCAUCGCGGAGCCGCAAGGUGAAAUACCGCUCUGUUCUCGUUUGACGUCUAACCUCGACAAGUCAUCCUUGUCAGGGACAGUGCCUGGCGGGUAGUUCAACUGGGGCGGUUGCCUCCCAAAGAGUAACGGAGGCGCUCAAAGGUCCGCUCAGCCCGGUUGGCAAUCGGGUGUCGAGUGUAAUCGCACAAGCGGGCUUGACUGCGAGGACGACGGUCCGAGCAGGGACGAAAGUCGGAGAUAGUGAUCCGGUGCCGGCGCACGGGCGCGGCAUCGCUCAACGGAUAAAAGGUACCCCGGGGAUAACAGGCUGAUCAUUCCCAAGAGUCCAUAUCGACGGGAUGGUUUGGCACCUCGAUGUCGGCUCGUCGCAUCCUGGGGCUGGAGCAGGUCCCAAGGGUUCGGCUGUUCGCCGAUUAAAGCGGCACGCGAGCUGGGUUCAGAACGUCGUGAGACAGUUUGGUCUCUAUCCUCUGCGCUCGUUGGAAUCCUGAGGAGGCCUGCCCAUAGUACGAGAGGACCUGGGUGGACGAACCUCUGGUAUGCCGGUUGUC